This 331-nucleotide long non-coding RNA is filed under the name Elaeis guineensis (African oil palm). RNAcentral's name for it is "long non-coding RNA (EGUI_LNC007348)". The record is from RNAcentral. Lineage: Eukaryota; Viridiplantae; Streptophyta; Magnoliopsida; Arecales; Arecaceae.
GUCUGAUGGCCGACUCAUAUGAAGCUCGCCGACCAAUGGAGGGGCCCGACACCACUCAGCUGGCUACCGACUUUGGGUCGGUCGGCUCCUCCAACCACCGUACAGCCGCCAGACGUUGUCAGCUCUGACACGGACAUGCGGCGCAGUUACCUAGGGGCAUUGUCCCGCCGAGAGCGGGGUCAACCCUGGUGAUUGGACGGCCACACGGCGACAUGACGUUUUCACGGCGACUCUGACAGUCCACAGUGAGUUGACAGGUCCUCACUUGUCCGCGCCAUUAAUGACGGCGCCAUACUGUGCUCCACUAUAUAAACCGGGGAAGGCAACAGUG